This 1218-nucleotide long non-coding RNA is filed under the name Homo sapiens (human). RNAcentral's name for it is "HAS2 antisense RNA 1". Lineage: Eukaryota; Metazoa; Chordata; Mammalia; Primates; Hominidae. The record is from RNAcentral.
AAAGAGAUAAGAGAGAGACCUUGGGGAACAAUUUUAAAGUGGCUCAAUAGCGAUCGCAGAGCCAAACUCAUACCUACAUCAAUGUGGUGCAGAGAAUCUCUAAGAAUUUUUAAUGCUGAAUUGGAGCAAAGAAACUUCAAGGAGGAAGCAAAGUGAAGAACACAGAUUUCACAGAUGGGAUGCCUGGCUCAAAUUCCAGCUUGACCGCUGGUAGCUGUGUGACCCUCGGCAAGUUACUUGACCUCUCUCUACUCAGUGUCCUCAUCUGUCAGAUUUUGGUAUCUGACUGAUGCUGUCUUCGUGGAAUGAGUUAGGAAAGAGUCCCUCCUCGUCAACUGUUGGGAAUACAUUCAGCAGGGUUGGUAUCAUUGCAUGUCUGGCAGAAUUUGACUAGGAAUCCAUCUGGUCCAGGAUUUUUUUUGUUGGUGUAAUGAGAUUCACUGAAGAAUUCUCAGAGUGGAAUGAGCAACAGAUUUUCAUUAGCGAAAGCUCCUCUAGCUGCUGCAUGAAAUGAUGUCUAGACAGAGCCAUUUUUAGAUCUUCCAUUGGAUUGGGAACGUGAAAAUGGCACAGAAAGAGAAAGAACAUGCCAAGAAGUGGGGGCACUCAGGCACUUGCAUCAGCUGCCUUGCAACAGUGAAUGAUAAAGAAAAUACUAUCAUAAAAGGGAUACAAUACAUGGUCCGUGACUGCAAAACCAUAUUAAAGUUCCUGUUCAUUGACGUCAUGGUUCACAUAUGGUGCAUAUGUAUAAUUGGAAAUCUCAGAAUUGCAUUUUCAUGAAAGAAGAUGAAGAUACCAAAUGCCUUACUAAGAGUAUUUAUUUGUUUGUCAGUUAUUUGCAUGGAAAUGUGGUAAAGAGAGAGCAAUGCCUGGGACUGGGUGUUAGCAUUAGUAAGUCAGAGAAAAACCUUCUUUGUAAGAAGUUAUAUACGAAGUUGUCAACUUUAAUUUAGCAUAAAUUAAUAACUGAAGACUGAAACAAAACACAGAUGGCAUAGAGUCAAUCUGGAGUCUUCUAGAAUCCUUUAUUAAAAGAAAAAACCCAUGAGAGAAAAGUAAAGAUUGGAGGUCUCAAAUCACAGUAAUUGUAUUACUCAAAUCACAAAUUCCUCCUUAACUCGACACUUAACUCGAUGGAAUUUUCAUGAUGUCAAAGCAUGUAGAUAGUUGGAUAAUUAGAAAUGAGAAUAAAGAACAGCUUAAUGAAUAACAGAA